Molecule: unclassified non-coding RNA, 2331 nt
Filed under: Polistes fuscatus (common paper wasp)
Lineage: Eukaryota; Metazoa; Arthropoda; Insecta; Hymenoptera; Vespidae
Description: cell division cycle protein 23 homolog, transcript variant X2
Source: RNAcentral
UAUAUAUAUAUAUAUGCGUUUUGUGUUAUAUUUCCUUCUAAUUAUAAUAAUACAUCAUUUUAGGCAUUUUAAUAAUCCUUAGAAGUAUUAUAAAACAUAAUUCUAUUAUAUCAAUCGCAAAAUCUUAUGAUUUAUGAUUUAUGUAUUAUACUAAUUACGAAUACUUUUGAAAUUUCGUACGCAUGAAAAUGGCUGAACAAGAUGGCGUAAUGAUCGUAUACUGCUUUACACUUUAUAUGAUAACCAAUCUUGGCUAUGUUAUUCUGUGUUAUAUUGUUGACAUUCAAGGAUAUAGUUAAAGGAUUAUUGGUUGGGAAAAGAAAUGUUAUACAUUGUACAUAGGAACGAAUAUACUGUAGAAAGAGAAAUAACAAUUGUUUUUGUUAAAUUAUAUAUAAUUUUAAAAAACUUAUUGUAAAUUAUUGCAUGUGAUGACUUUUGGCAAAUUGAUUAUAAAUGGAUGAUCUUGUAAAAUUUAACAUUAAAGAGGUUAAGUGUGAUUUGUUACCGGCUAUAAGUGAAUGCACUCAACGUGGUUUACUACAUACUACUAAAUGGCUGGCAGAAUUGAAUUAUUCAUUAAAAGAAGUCAAAGUAGAUUUACACGAUGUUACUACAGACGUUAGUGUGAUAGAAUCCAGUGAAGAAGAUGACACCUAUAUCUUAGCUAAAACUUAUUUUGAUUUAAAAGAAUACGAUAGAGCAGCAUAUUUUACUGAAAAAUGUACAACUCCAAAAGCAAGGUUUUUGUAUUUAUAUUCUCGCUACUUGUCAGGAGAGAAAAAGAAAAUAGAUGACAUGACGGAUAUACCACCAGACCCUAUGAAAAAUGAUUGUUUAAAAUUACUCUGUGCUGAUUUAAGGAAAGAUCAUUUGGCUGGUAAAUUAGAUGGCUUUUGUUUAUAUUUAUUUGGAGUUACUUUGAAAAAACUUCAGCUUAACAAAGAGGCAACCGAAGUCUUGAUUGAAUCCACUCACAAGCAGCCAAUGCACUGGGGUACUUGGUUAGAGUUAGCUGCGCUAAUCACUGAUAGAGAAAAGUUGGAAAGUUUACGUCUUCCAAAUCAUUGGAUUAAACAUUUCUUUAUGGCACACAUGUAUUUGGAGUUGCAACUUAUUGACGAGGGUUUAGCUAUGUAUUGCGAAUUACAAUCUAUGGGUUUUGAAAAAAAUUCAUAUGUACUUGCUCAAACUGCGAUUGCUGUUCACUAUAGGAGAGAUGUCGACAAUGCUAUAAAAACAUUCAAGCACAUAAUUAAAGAGGAUCCGUAUUGUCUUGACAAUAUGGAUACAUAUUCAAAUUUACUUUAUGUUAAAGAAAUGAAAGUAGAAUUAGCAUAUUUAGCGCAUAGAGCAACGGAAAUUGAUAAAUAUCGAUUGGAAACAUGUUGUAUAGUAGGAAAUUAUUAUAGUUUAAGAGCAGAUCAUCAGAAAGCAGUGAUGUAUUUCCACAGAGCAUUAAAACUUAACCCACAGUAUUUAUCCGCUUGGACGUUACUUGGUCAUGAGUUUAUGGAAAUGAAAAAUACUAAUGGUGCAAUUCAUAGUUAUCGUCAAGCUAUUGAAGUUAAUAGAAGGGAUUAUAGAGCAUGGUAUGGCUUGGGUCAGACUUAUGAAAUUUUAAAGAUGCCUUCUUACGGGUUGUACUAUUACAAACAGGCACAACUUUUGAGACCUCACGAUAGUCGUAUGGUUCUUGCAUUGGGCGAGGCAUACGAAAAACAAGAUAAAAUUCAAGAUGCACUCAAGUGUUAUUUUAAAGCAUGCAACGUAGGGGAUAUCGAAGGAGUAGCUUUAAUAAAAUUAGCUAAUCUAUAUGAAAAGUUGGGCGAACAUGAUCAUGCAGCUGCAGCAUAUACAGAUUUUGUAAUGGAUGAAUUUAGAAAUGCCGAUAGAACUGAAUUGAGUCAUGCUUACAAGUAUCUUACGCAGUAUCAUUUAAAACGAGAACAAUUAGAUAGAGCAAACCAUUACGCUCAAAAAUGUCUUCAAUUUGAUGAAACCAAAGAGGAAGCUAAAGGACUUUUAAGGACUAUUGCACAGAAAAGAGCAAAAGUUGAAGAGAAUUCAAUGGUGGUAGAAGAUAUGAAUGAAACUGAUCCAGUUAUAGAGCAAAGCGCAAGGACGGAUGCUACACCAGGAAAUCAAUUGUCACCCAUGAAUUUAUCCUUCACCCCUACACCAUAGUAAAAAAGAAAAGCAUGGACACACGCAAGCAUGCAUCGCACGCGAGCCAGUAUGCGCCAAAUAUGCUUAAAGUGGAACAGCUUCCUGAACAAUAUCGCGACGAGCUUCGAGAGUCUUUGGGAGGAAGAAGGCCUGGUGGACGUG